AAAUUGAAGAGUUUGAUCAUGGCUCAGAUUGAACGCUGGCGGCAGGCCUAACACAUGCAAGUCGAACGGUAACAGGAAACAGCUUGCUGUUUCGCUGACGAGUGGCGGACGGGUGAGUAAUGUCUGGGAAACUGCCUGAUGGAGGGGGAUAACUACUGGAAACGGUAGCUAAUACCGCAUAACGUCGCAAGACCAAAGAGGGGGACCCUCGGGCCUCUUGCCAUCGGAUGUGCCCAGAUGGGAUUAGCUUGUUGGUGGGGUAACGGCUCACCAAGGCGACGAUCCCUAGCUGGUCUGAGAGGAUGACCAGCCACACUGGAACUGAGACACGGUCCAGACUCCUACGGGAGGCAGCAGUGGGGAAUAUUGCACAAUGGGCGCAAGCCUGAUGCAGCCAUGCCGCGUGUAUGAAGAAGGCCUUCGGGUUGUAAAGU
RNAcentral lists this ribosomal RNA (434 nucleotides) under Escherichia coli. RNAcentral's name for it is "bacterial SSU rRNA". It matches the Rfam family "Bacterial small subunit ribosomal RNA", at positions 1 to 431 of the family's 1533-position model. The record is from RNAcentral. Lineage: Bacteria; Pseudomonadati; Pseudomonadota; Gammaproteobacteria; Enterobacterales; Enterobacteriaceae.